CAGCCGAUGAAGUGAGCUGUAGCUCACGAAAGCUUAUGCUCAAAUAAAUUGGUUAGUCUCUAAGGUGCCACAAGUACUCCUUUUUCUUUUAACAAGUAGAGUGUUAUUUAUAAAAAUAUAAAAUGCCCCUCCCUCCAAAUGCCCUGCUUCCACAGAUCCACCAGGCAAAACUGUUUCUCUUGCUUCUGGAAUUCUGGAACAGAAAAGCAUGCACACACUCCCUCAAUGGCUAAUUGUUUUGAAAUGGGCUAGGCUGCUGUGAGGCUGGGCGUGCACGAUUCUCUGUUCCAACAUUCCAAAAUAAGAUACAGUAAUCCCCACCCACCCACAAAUGUCCCUUACUUAUUCUUGAAUCCUUUAAUUCUCCAUAGUAAAGGGUAAAAGGGAGGGUCAACAUAGAUCUGCAGAGGGAAUACAUUCAAAGCACAAAAGUCACCUCUUUUUCUCCCUUAUGACAUUGCCAGGACAUAUUCCCACUGAGAGAGAUGAACUUGCAGCAAAAAAUCCUCCAGGAGGUGGCUGUGGAAUAUUACUAGCUACAAAAUAAACACAGCUCUCCCAAAAGGAGCAGCUAAUCUGAUCUACAAUUACUUUAGUUAUUCUAAAAGAAAUCCAGAUGCAGACAGAGGUGUAUAGUCUGUGUGCACUCAGGUUGAUGGAAAGAGAAGAAAAAAAGAGUAGAGACUCAUGAAAUUUCUUUUAAUUUUAUUUUUUAACAAUUUUUCAUUUUAUUUUCCUGCAACGUGUGUUUAAUUUUAUCCAUUCUAUCAAUGGAGGGGAGGGGUGAUGAGUCUUGCCGAGAGAGGUCACAGAGCAAGCCUGCCCCGCACUUACCUGGCAGUGGCAUCAUGAUGACAGAACGACAGCCAGGCCAAACCUGAAAUGGCACUGAGAAACCAUGCACCAGGUCACAAUACCCAAGAGCAAGGAGCUGGGCCCAACCCCGUGGGACAGAAGCCAUAGCUGCAGGCAUAGACUGUCAAGAUCACAAAAGGAUUUUAACAAUGACCAUGUACAAAUGAUAUACAGUAACGAGCAAAGUACUACACAUUAAGGUGUUUCCUAACAAAGCUGGCAAAAAAGGUCCUUUACUACAAUGGGCUAUGGGAGGUUGAGAAUAUGAGGGUCAACUACAGAGUGUUCCUGAACAUAUGUUUUUGUUCUGCAAGCACCAAUGAGCUACAAGAAAGACACCCAAGAUUAUACAUGCAAACACACUGCAAUAACUAUUCUGAAAAGUUUAAAGAUUUGUAUUUAUUUUUUUCCUUUCAUUUCAACAUACUAUGGAGUAUCAAAGUAAACAUUACCAUACUGAAUAAAGAGUAAGAAAUGCGACUAGCCUUAAAA
Long non-coding RNA from Chelonia mydas (Green sea turtle), 1347 nucleotides. RefSeq lists it as uncharacterized. The transcript has 4 exons. The record is from RefSeq and is a predicted model, not a curated record. Lineage: Eukaryota; Metazoa; Chordata; Testudines; Cheloniidae.